CGGGACCUAAGCCGAGGCCGCAAGGCGUAGGCGAUGGACAAUCGGUUGAGAAUCCGAUACCACCAAAUACCGUUUGAGUGAAGGAGUGACGCAGGAGGGUAAGUCAAGCCAGCGGUUGGAAAAGCUGGUCCAAGCCCGUAGGGUGAGAGAUAGGCAAAUCCGUCUCUUGUAAAGCCUGAGAGGUGAAGGGGAGCGAAAACAAGUAGCGAAGUGGCUGAUCCCAAACUGCCAAGAAAAGCUUCUAGCGAGGUAAAAGGUGCCCGUACCGCAAACCGACACAGGUAGGUGGGGUG
This 293-nucleotide ribosomal RNA is filed under the name Desulforamulus aquiferis. RNAcentral describes it as "partial 23S ribosomal RNA". It matches the Rfam family "Bacterial large subunit ribosomal RNA", at positions 1385 to 1674 of the family's 2925-position model. Lineage: Bacteria; Bacillati; Bacillota; Clostridia; Eubacteriales; Peptococcaceae. The record is from RNAcentral.